This 469-nucleotide ribosomal RNA is filed under the name uncultured bacterium. Its description in RNAcentral is "bacterial SSU rRNA". It matches the Rfam family "Bacterial small subunit ribosomal RNA", at positions 60 to 524 of the family's 1533-position model. The record is from RNAcentral.
AGUCGAGCGGUAGAGAGGUGCUUGCACCUCUUGAGAGCGGCGGACGGGUGAGUAAUGCCUAGGAAUCUGCCUGAUAGUGGGGGAUAACGUCCGGAAACGGACGCUAAUACCGCGUACGUCCUACGGGAGAAAGCAGGGGACCUUCGGGCCUUGCGCUAUCAGAUGAGCCUAGGUCGGAUUAGCUAGUUGGUGGGGUAAAGGCUCACCAAGGCGACGAUCCGUAACUGGUCUGAGAGGAUGAUCAGUCACACUGGAACUGAGACACGGUCCAGACUCCUACGGGAGGCAGCAGUGGGGAAUAUUGGACAAUGGGCGAAAGCCUGAUCCAGCCAUGCCGCGUGUGUGAAGAAGGUCUUCGGAUUGUAAAGCACUUUAAGUUGGGAGGAAGGGUCGUUACCUAAUACGUGACGAUUUUGACGUUACCGACAGAAUAAGCACCGGCUAACUCUGUGCCAGCAGCCGCGGUAAU